AGAGUUUGAUCCUGGCUCAGGAUGAACGCUGGCGGCGUGCUUAACACAUGCAAGUCGAACGGGGAACAUUUUAUGGAAGCUUCGGUGGAAAUAGCUUGUUCCUAGUGGCGGACGGGUGAGUAACGCGUGGAUAACCUGCCUCAUACAGGGGGAUAACAGUUAGAAAUGACUGCUAAUACCGCAUAAGCGCACAGCGCUGCAUGGCACAGUGCGAAAAGCUCCGGCGGUAUGAGAUGGAUCCGCGUUUGAUUAGCUAGUUGGUGGGGUAAAGGCCUACCAAGGCGACGAUCAAUAGCCGACCUGAGAGGGUGACCGGCCACAUUGGGACUGAGACACGGCCCAAACUCCUACGGGAGGCAGCAGUGGGGAAUAUUGCACAAUGGGGGAAACCCUGAUGCAGCGACGCCGCGUGAAGGAAGAAGUAUUUCGGUAUGUAAACUUCUAUCAGCAGGGAAGAAAAUGACGGUACCUGACUAAGAAGCCCCGGCUAAUUACGUGCCAGCAGCCGCGGUAAUACGUAAGGGGCAAGCGUUAUCCGGAUUUACUGGGUGUAAAGGGAGCGUAGACGGCAGUGCAAGUCUGAUGUGAAAGCCCGGGGCUCAACCCCGGGACUGCAUUGGAAACUGUGCAGCUAGAGUGUCGGAGAGGUAAGUGGAAUUCCUAGUGUAGCGGUGAAAUGCGUAGAUAUUAGGAGGAACACCAGUGGCGAAGGCGGCUUACUGGACGAUAACUGACGUUGAGGCUCGAAAGCGUGGGGAGCAAACAGGAUUAGAUACCCUGGUAGUCCACGCCGUAAACGAUGAAUACUUGGUGUCGGGCCGCCAAAAGACGUUCGGUGCCCCAGCAAACGCAAUAAGUAUUCCACCUGGGGAGUACGUUCGCAAGAAUGAAACUCAAAGGAAUUGACGGGGACUCGCACAAGCGGUGGAGCAUGUGGUUUAAUUCGAAGCAACGCGAAGAACCUUACCAAGUCUUGACAUCUGCCUGAUCGGUCCGUAACAGGACCCUUCCUUCGGGACAGGCAAGACAGGUGGUGCAUGGUUGUCGUCAGCUCGUGUCGUGAGAUGUUGGGUUAAGUCCCGCAACGAGCGCAACCCUUAUCCUUAGUAGCCAGCAGGUAGAGCUGGGCACUCUAGGGAGACUGCCAGGGACAACCUGGAGGAAGGUGGGGAUGACGUCAAAUCAUCAUGCCCCUUAUGAUUUGGGCUACACACGUGCUACAAUGGCGUAAACAAAGGGAGGCGAAGGGGUGACCUGGAGCAAAUCCCAAAAAUAACGUCUCAGUUCGGAUUGUAGUCUGCAACUCGACUACAUGAAGCUGGAAUCGCUAGUAAUCGCGAAUCAGAAUGUCGCGGUGAAUACGUUCCCGGGUCUUGUACUCACCGCCCGUCA
RNAcentral lists this ribosomal RNA (1392 nucleotides) under uncultured bacterium. Its description in RNAcentral is "bacterial SSU rRNA". It matches the Rfam family "Bacterial small subunit ribosomal RNA". The record is from RNAcentral.